UUUUUAGCUAGGAUCUUAGAAAUAUGAUCAGUAUUGCCUUGGAUGUAGGGAAGAUAAAUGAGAGCUAGAGGCGGGGAAGAGGGAGGGUUUUUUUUUGGAUUAUAGAAUGGAGGGCUGAGUAGAAAUAUUUAUUCCAUCCCUACGUCCAAGUCAUUACUGAUCAUAUUUCUACGAUCCUGGCUAAAAA
This 187-nucleotide microRNA precursor is filed under the name Picea abies (Norway spruce). RNAcentral's name for it is "miR11537 stem-loop (pab-MIR11537)". Lineage: Eukaryota; Viridiplantae; Streptophyta; Pinopsida; Pinales; Pinaceae. The record is from miRBase by way of RNAcentral.